Molecule: long non-coding RNA, 341 nt
Organism: Neofelis nebulosa (Clouded leopard)
Lineage: Eukaryota; Metazoa; Chordata; Mammalia; Carnivora; Felidae
Exons: 3
Source: RefSeq, a predicted model, not a curated record
GUCCUUGAUGGCAGGGAGGAGGUCUGAUUUAUUGGCAUGUCCCCAGGGCCUAGAAGAUGGAGAAGCACAAAGUACAUGCUUGCAAACUCUAGACUUCUGCAUCAGACCAAAGGUCGUUACUUAUUCAAGAAACAUUGAUCACCACCUAUCAUGUGCCAGGCAAGUAGUGAAGAAUCAGCACAAUGGAAGCACAAGAAAUGGAGAAUUGCCAUCGAAGGUCUGGGUUUAUCAAGAUGAAAAAUGACCAGCUGGUAAACCUCCCUAACAUCUGACCCAGAGUGAGCUUCUGAAGAAGGGUUGGGGGACAUCUGGGUCAAAAUUAAAACUGUGCACAUGAGAAC